This 487-nucleotide ribosomal RNA is filed under the name uncultured bacterium. RNAcentral describes it as "bacterial SSU rRNA". It matches the Rfam family "Bacterial small subunit ribosomal RNA", at positions 29 to 526 of the family's 1533-position model. The record is from RNAcentral.
AAUGAACGUUGGCGGCGUGGAUUAGGCAUGCAAGUCGAGCGAGAAGUUUACUUCGGUAAAUGGACAGCGGCGAAAGGGACAGUAAUGUGUAGGUACCUACCCCCCGAUCUGGGAUAGCUGCGGGAAACUGCAGGUAAUACCGGAUAAUGUCUUCGGACCAAAGGUGUGAUUCCGUCAGGGGAGGGGCCUGCAUCCUAUUAGCUUGUUGGUGAGGUAAUGGCUCACCAAGGCAACGAUGGGUAGCGGGUGUGAGAGCAUGACCCGCGUCAUUGGGACUGAGACACUGCCCAGACAUCUACGGAUGGCUGCAGUCGAGAAUCUUCGGCAAUGGGCGAAAGCCUGACCGAGCGACGCCGCGUGCGGGAUGAAGGCCCUCGGGUUGUAAACCGCUGUCGUUGGGGAGGAAAUGCAAAAGGGUUAUCCCUUCUGUUUGACCGAUCCAAGGAGGAAGUACGGGCUAAGUUCGUGCCAGCCGCCGCCGUAACAC